Molecule: ribosomal RNA, 2997 nt
Filed under: uncultured beta proteobacterium
Lineage: Bacteria; Pseudomonadati; Pseudomonadota; Betaproteobacteria
Description: bacterial LSU rRNA
Rfam family: Bacterial large subunit ribosomal RNA
Source: RNAcentral
GGUCAAGCGACUAAGUGCAUGUGGUGGAUGCCUUGGCGACUACAGGCGAUGAAAGACGCGUAAGCCUGCGAUAAGCUUCGGGGAGCUGGCAAUAGAGCUUUGAUCCGGAGAUUUCUGAAUGGGGGAACCCACCCGCAAGGGUACUCCUGCCUGAAUACAUAGGGCAGGUAGAGCGAACGCAGUGAACUGAAACAUCUAAGUAGCUGCAGGAAAAGAAAUCAACCGAGAUUCCCAUAGUAGUGGCGAGCGAAUUGGGAAGAGCCUUCAUGAUUUAGCAUUCUUGUUAGUGGAACAGUCUGGAAAGUCUGGCCAUAGUGGGUGAUAGCCCCGUACGCGAAAACAAGAGUGUGGAACUAGGCAUGAGACAAGUAGGGCGGGACACGUGAAAUCCUGUCUGAACAUGGGGGGACCAUCCUCCAAGGCUAAAUACUCGUAGUCGACCGAUAGUGAACCAGUACCGUGAGGGAAAGGCGAAAAGAACCCCGGGAGGGGAGUGAAAUAGAUCCUGAAACCGCAUGCAUACAAACAGUGGGAGCCCCUGCACAAAGAGUCUUUAGGGUUCUUUCGAGGAGCGCGCAGCGCGACUCAAAAGAAUAUAAAGAAGAAAUAGAUCUUUGUGCAAGCAGAGAACCCGGAGGGUUCUUCGUGCAGGGGUGACUGCGUACCUUUUGUAUAAUGGGUCAGCGACUUACGUUCAGUUGCGAGCUUAACCGAAUAGGGGAGGCGAAGCGAAAGCGAGUCUUAAUAGGGCGCAUAGUAGCUGGGCGUAGACCCGAAACCGGAUGAUCUAUCCAUGGCCAGGAUGAAGGUGCGGUAACACGCACUGGAGGUCCGAACCCACUAAUGUUGAAAAAUUAGGGGAUGAGCUGUGGAUAGGGGUGAAAGGCUAAACAAAUCCGGAGAUAGCUGGUUCUCCUCGAAAGCUAUUUAGGUAGCGCCUCAUGUAUCACUCACGGGGGUAGAGCACUGUAAUGUUAGUGGGGGCCAUUGCGGCUUACUGCGGCAUAGCAAACUCCGAAUACCGUGAAGUGCGAGCAUGGGAGACAGACAUCGGGUGCUAACGUCCGGUGUCAAGAGGGAAACAACCCAGACCGACAGCUAAGGUCCCAAAUGACGUGCUAAGUGGAAAACGAUGUGGGAAGGCAUAGACAGCUAGGAAGUUGGCUUAGAAGCAGCCAUCCUUUAAAGAAAGCGUAAUAGCUCACUAGUCGAGUCGUCCUGCGCGGAAGAUGUAACGGGGCUAAGCACGUAACCGAAGCUUCGGAUAUGUAAUUUAUUACAUAUGGUAGAGGAGCGUUCUGUAAGUCUGCGAAGGUGUCUGGUAAUGGAUGCUGGAGAUAUCAGAAGUGCGAAUGCUGACAUGAGUAGCGAUAAAGGGAGUGAAAAGCUCCCUCGCCGAAAACCCAAGGUUUCCUGCGCAACGUUCAUCGGCGCAGGGUGAGUCGGCCCCUAAGGUGAGGCAGAGAUGCGUAGCUGAUGGGAAACGGGUCAAAAUUCCCGUACUUUUAUUUACUGCGAUGUGGGGACGGAGAAGGUUAGGUGGGCCGGGUGUUGGAUGUCCCGGUUUAAGUGUGUAGGCAGAUCCCUUAGGCAAAUCCGGGGGGUUAAUGCUGAGGCAUGAUGACGGUGCUCCAUUGGAGCCGAAGUCACUGAUACCAAGCUUCCAAGAAAAGCCACUAAGCUUCAGGUAAAUGAAAACCGUACCGCAAACCGACACAGGUGGGUAGGAUGAGAAUUCUAAGGCGCUUGAGAGAACUCGGGUGAAGGAACUCGGCAAAUUAGCUCCGUAACUUCGGGAGAAGGAGCGCCCCGGUAGAGUGUAGAGACUUGCUCUCGAAGCUCGAUGGGGUUGCAGUGAAAAGGUGGCUGCGACUGUUUAAUAAAAACACAGCACUCUGCAAACACGAAAGUGGACGUAUAGGGUGUGACGCCUGCCCGGUGCCGGAAGGUUAAUUGAUGGGGUGCAAGCUCUUGAUCGAAGCCCCGGUAAACGGCGGCCGUAACUAUAACGGUCCUAAGGUAGCGAAAUUCCUUGUCGGGUAAGUUCCGACCCGCACGAAUGGCGUAACGAUGGCCACACUGUCUCCACCCGAGACUCAGCGAAGUUGAAAUGUUUGUGAAGAUGCAAUCUCCCCGCGGCUAGACGGAAAGACCCCAUGAACCUUUACUGUAGCUUUGCAUUGGACUGUGACAAGACUUGUGUAGGAUAGCUGGGAGCCUGUGAAGCGAGGACGCUAGUUCUCGUGGAGGCAACGUUGAAAUACCAGCCUGGUGUUGUUGCGGUUCUAACCUGGGUCCAUUAUCUGGAUCGGGGACCGUGCAUGGUGGGCAGUUUGACUGGGGCGGUCUCCUCCCAAAUUGUAACGGAGGAGUACGAAGGUCUUCUAGGUACGGUCGGACAUCGUACUGAUAGUGCAAUGGCAUAAGAAGGCUUGACUGCGAGACUGACACGUCGAGCAGGUGCGAAAGCAGGUCAUAGUGAUCCGGUGGUUCUGUAUGGAAGGGCCAUCGCUCAACGGAUAAAAGGUACUCUGGGGAUAACAGGCUGAUUCCUCCCAAGAGUUCAUAUCGACGGGGGAGUUUGGCACCUCGAUGUCGGCUCAUCACAUCCUGGGGCUGUAGCCGGUCCCAAGGGUAUGGCUGUUCGCCAUUUAAAGUGGUACGUGAGCUGGGUUUAAAACGUCGUGAGACAGUUUGGUCCCUAUCUGCCGUGGGCGCUGGAUAUUUGACGGGGGCUGCUCCUAGUACGAGAGGACCGGAGUGGACGUGCCUCUGGUGUACCGGUUAUGACGCCAGUCGUAUCGCCGGGUAGCUAAGCACGGAAGAGAUAAACGCUGAAAGCAUCUAAGCGUGAAACUUGCCUGAAGAUAAGAUAUCCCUUGCACCUUGAGUGCACUAAAGGGUCGUUGAAGACCACAACGUUGAUAGGCUGGGUGUGGAAGCGCAGUAAUGCGUUAAGCUAACCAGUACUAAUUGCCCGUGAGGCUUGAUCCUAUA